CCUACGGGGGGCAGCAGUGGGGGAUAUUGCACAAUGGGGGAAACCCUGAUGCAGCGACGCCGCGUGAGUGAAGAAGUAUUUCGGUAUGUAAAGCUCUAUCAGCCGGGAAGAAAAUGACAGUACCUGACCAAGAAGCCCCGGCUAACUACGUGCCAGCAGCCGCGGUAAUACGUAGGGGGCAAGCGUUAUCCGGAUUUACUGGGUGUAAAGGGAGCGUAGGCGGUUAUGUAAGUCUGGAGUGAAAGCCCGGGGCCCAACCCCGGGACUGCUUUGGAAACUGUGUAACUGGAGUGCAGGAGGGGCAGGCGGAAUUCCUGGUGUAGCGGUGAAAUGCGUAGAUAUCAGGAGGAACACCGGCGGCGAAGGCGGCCUGCCGGGGUGCGACUGACGCUGAGGCUCGAAGGUGCGGGUAUCAAACAGGAUUAGAUACCCGAGUAGUC
Molecule: ribosomal RNA, 440 nt
Filed under: uncultured bacterium
Lineage: Bacteria
Description: partial 16S ribosomal RNA
Rfam family: Bacterial small subunit ribosomal RNA
Source: RNAcentral